RNAcentral lists this ribosomal RNA (820 nucleotides) under uncultured bacterium. Its description in RNAcentral is "bacterial SSU rRNA". It matches the Rfam family "Bacterial small subunit ribosomal RNA", at positions 8 to 869 of the family's 1533-position model. The record is from RNAcentral.
AGAGUUUGAUCCUGGCUCAGGAUGAACGCUAGCGGCGUGGAUAAGGCAUGCAAGUCGAACGCCCCGGUUUACCGGGGAGUGGCAAACGGGUGAGUAAUACGUUGGUUACCUACCUUGAAGUUUGGGAUAACAUCGAGAAAUUGAUGCUAAUACCAAAUAGUCCCGCAAGGGUAAAGAUUUAUCGCUUCAAGAAGGGCCGACGCACUAUCAGCUAGUUGGUGAGGUAAUGGCUCACCAAGGCUAUGACGGUUAGGAGGCUCGAGAGGGUAUUCUCCCACAUUGGCACUGAGACACUGGCCAAACUCCUACGGGAGGCUGCAGUCGAGAAUCUUCGUCAAUGCACUCAAGUGUGAACGAGCGACGCCGCGUGAGCGAUGAAGCCCUUCGGGGUGUAAAGCUCUUUUAUUAGGGAUAAACUUUGAUAGUACCUAGUGAAUAAGAGGUUGCUAACUCUGUGCCAGCAGCAGCGGUAAUACAGAGACCUCAAGCGUUAUCCGGAAUUAUUGGGCGUAAAGCGUCUGUAGGUUGGGUAAAUAGUCAGAUGUCAAAUUCUAGGGCUUAACUUUAGAACUGCAUUUGAAACGUUUAUUCUAGAGGACAGUAGGGGCAAGUAGAACUUAUAGUGUAGCAGUAAAAUGCGUUGACAUUAUAAGGAAUAUCAAAAGCGAAGGCAUCUUGCUGGACUGUUCCUGACACUGAGAGACGAAAGCGUGGGUAGCGAAUGGGAUUAGAUACCCCAGUAGUCCACGCUGUAAACGAUGGAUAUUAGGCAUUAGGAGUGUCGACCCUUUUAGUGCCGAAGCUAACGCGUUAAAUAUCC